GACGAACGCUGGCGGCGUGCUUAACACAUGCAAGUCGAACGGAAAGGCCCUGCUUGCAGGGUACUCGAGUGGCGAACGGGUGAGUAACACGUGGGUGAUCUGCCCUGCACUUCGGGAUAAGCCUGGGAAACUGGGUCUAAUACCGGAUAGGAGCCAUUUUUAGUGUGAUGGUUGGAAAGUUUUUUCGGUGUAGGAUGAGCUCGCGGCCUACCAGCUUGUUGGUGGGGUAAUGGCCUACCAAGGCGGCGACGGGUAGCCGGCCUGAGAGGGUGGACGGCCACAUUGGGACUGAGAUACGGCCCAGACGCCUACGGGAGGCAGCAGUGGGGAAUAUUGCACAAUGGGCGCAAGCCUGAUGCAGCGACGCCGCGUGGGGGAUGACGGCCUUCGGGUUGUAAACUCCUUUCGCUAGGGACGAAGCUUUUUGUGACGGUACCUAGAGAAGAAGCACCGGCUAACUACGUG
Molecule: ribosomal RNA, 465 nt
Filed under: uncultured bacterium
Lineage: Bacteria
Description: partial 16S ribosomal RNA
Rfam family: Bacterial small subunit ribosomal RNA
Source: RNAcentral